CCAAAACUUAGCUGCUCCAGUUCAGGCUGGUUGCACGCUUCAACCCUCUGUGAACCAAAAACCUUUACGCUUCGGCAGCUGGUUCCAGCUGUAAGCCUGCCGAUGGCACCCAUUUAAACCUAUCGUUAAAUAUUUGUCUGAACUAAAUAUUUUCGAAUGAAAAUUA
Molecule: unclassified non-coding RNA, 166 nt
Filed under: soil metagenome
Description: partial internal transcribed spacer 1
Source: RNAcentral